AACACAUUACGAUAAAGGCGAUGUUACUUUGCUUUUAUUUGUGAUUUUUAUUAUUGCUGUUCUAAAUAAUUAUUUGCUUAAAAACUAAAAUAUCGAAAGCCCAUGGUUUGCAGUAAAAAAACAUGACAUCACAAAAUAACCAGUCUGACAGUCAGAGAUUGGGUAAUACAUCUAAUGUCAAAUGAAAACAAGUGAAAGUAAUCACAUUUUCAAAUUUUCAAAUGCAGCAUUGCGAUAUUUCAUUGGCGUUUAAGUUUCUAAUUUAGAAUAAGUAUGAUAAUCUCGAACAGCGAAGGAGUCACUGUAUCUGCAUAUUUCCAGCAAAUCAUUUCUGUCGGACAAUUUUUUAGAACCUACAUAUACAUUUUUUACCAACGGGGUUUAUUGUUGAAUGUUAUUUUCGCCUCGGAUACAUGGAAUACUUGCCACUGGACAUUAUGACUAUACCAAUUAAUUAAUACGAAUGGUAGGGUAAAUCAGAGAGACAUACAGGUACCAAUAACCAGAAGCAUAUAAAAGAAAUCUAAAAAAAUUCAACGUACAGUUUUGAGAACAGGGACGAAAUGUCAAGUUGUCUUGCGUGUUUUUCUCAAUUAUUUAUUAUUUUAUUUUCUCUGUAUAAGUAGGAGAAUGCCGCGGGAAUUAGAGACAAACCACGCUAUGACCAUAUGACGAAAAGACAAUAUAGUCUCAAAACACAAUAUUAAAAGAAAGAUACAGUCCGACAAACCCAAAAGCCGAGGUUGGUGGUACAUGUAUUGGAAGUGUUACGGGCGUUAUUGCUACACUAUAUAGGGGACAUUUAUUGUUCAGAAAAUAGUCAAACUGAAGACCGGGUAUAAAUAAGUUUGUAUACGUGCAAGUAUCCUACGAAAACAUGUUUAUAUGUAAAGAAAUUUAAAGGUUUUUAAAUAACAACCUGGAUUUCUAAAUUAUUUGUGUCACAAAUGAGUUCAAGGUUGACGGAUAUAUAAAAAAACAAACCCGUAAUUAUAAUUUUCUGAUGAAUACAAAAAGUAUCAACCAGUAUUUAACUUGAACGGGUGUCUUUUUCUCUCACUUGAAGUUCUAUGCAAUUUGAAUAUUGCCCUUAAUGAAAUGAUCAUUUAACUCGAAGUCAAAAAGUCUGCCUUGUGAGUGUACAUUUUCAUCCUGUCUUGUGCAAAGUUUAUAAAUUAAAAAAAAAAAACCCUGCCCCUCCCAGAAAAUCAGAUGGUAGUCGCAACAGGUUAUUCAGCAGAGGCAGAUAAAGAGUAACAAAUUGUUUUUAUUUCAAGUGUCAAUGUUGCAAAAUUUAUUUUAUUUAAACAUGAAAUAAAAGCGUAUCGAAAUACAAACCAGUCAUUGUGAUUUAAUUUUGUGACACA
RNAcentral lists this long non-coding RNA (1367 nucleotides) under Mytilus galloprovincialis (Mediterranean mussel). The record is from RNAcentral. Lineage: Eukaryota; Metazoa; Mollusca; Bivalvia; Mytilida; Mytilidae.